This 74-nucleotide transfer RNA is filed under the name Tsukamurella phage TIN2. Its description in RNAcentral is "tRNA-Asn". It matches the Rfam family "tRNA". From Rfam's summary of the family: Transfer RNA (tRNA) molecules are approximately 80 nucleotides in length. Their secondary structure includes four short double-helical elements and three loops (D, anti-codon, and T loops). Lineage: Duplodnaviria; Heunggongvirae; Uroviricota; Caudoviricetes. The record is from RNAcentral.
UGGGAUAUAGCUCAAUUGGCAGAGCAGGCGACUGUUAAUCGCCCGGUUACAGGUUCGAGUCCUGUUUUCCCAGC